GGACUACCGGGGUUUCUAAUCCUGUUUGCUCCCCACGCUUUCGUGCCUCAGUGUCAGGAAUCAGCCAGAAAGGCGCCUUCGCCGCCGGCCUUCCCCCGAAUAUCUGCGCAUUUCACCGCUACACUCGGAGUUCCCCUUUCCCCUCUGAUCCUCAAGCCUCGCAGUAUAAAAAGCAAUUCCCCGGGUAAGCCGAGGGAUUUCACUCCUUACUUACGAAGCCACCUACGCACCCUUUAAGCCCAGUGACACCGAACAACGUUCGCCCCUCACGUAUUACCGCGGCUGCUGGCAC
This 292-nucleotide ribosomal RNA is filed under the name uncultured bacterium. RNAcentral describes it as "partial 16S ribosomal RNA". The record is from RNAcentral.